CUCUGAAGAGGAAUCCUGAGGAGCCAGGAGGAAUUCUGAGGAAGUGAAAGGAGUUCUGAGGAGGAAGGAGGAAUUCUGAGGAGGUGGGAGGAGUUCUGAGGAAGGAGGAGGAGUUCUGAGGAGGGAGGAGGAAUACUGAGGUGGGAGGAGUUCUGAGGAUGGAGGAGGAGUUCUGAGGAAGGAGGAGGAGUUCUGAGGAGGGAGGAGGAAUUCUGAGGAGGUGGGAAGAGUUCUGAGGAGGGAGGAGGAAUUCUGAGGAGGUGGGAAGAGUUCUGAGGAGGGAGGAGGAAUUCUGAGGAGGUGGGAGGAGUUCUGAGGAGGGAGGAGGAAUCCUGAGGAGGCAGGAGUUCUGAGGAGGGAGGAAAAAUCCUGAGGAGGCAGGAGUUCUGAGGAGGGAGGAGGAAUCCUGAGGAGGCAGGAGUUGUGAGGAGGGAGGAGGAAUCCUGAGAAGGAAUCCUGAGGUAGGAGGAGUUCCGAGGGGGUGGGGAGUUCUGAGGAGGUGGGAGGAGUUCUGAGGAGGGAGAAGGAAUUCUGAGGAGGGGGGAGGAGUUCUGAGGAGGGAGAAGGAAUUCUGAGGAAGGAGGAGGAGUUCUGAGGAGGGAGGAGGAAUUCUGAGGAGGUGGGAGGAGUUCUGAGGAGGCAGGAGGAAUUCUGAGGAGGGAGGAGGAGUUCUGAGGAGGUGGGAGGAGUUCUGAGGAGGUGGGAGGAGUUCUGAGGAGGUGGGAGGAAUUCUAAUGGGGGGAGUUCUGAGGAGGGGGAGGAAUUCUGAGGAGGUAGGAGGAGUUCUGAGGAGGCAGGAGGAGUUCUGAGGAUGUGGGAGGAGUUCUGAGGAGGUGGGAGGAAUUCCCAGGAGGUGGGAGAAGUUCUGAGGAGGGAGGAGGAGAGAGGCAUCCUAGGUCAAGCCAGAAAGAAGAGUGGUGAAAUUGCUUCCUGAUUCCUCCUUGGUGACUCUGAGGUUAGAGAGGAAGCUAAACUCUGAAGCCCACCUUAUAUACGGAAGAUGAUCUGGGGUCUGUGGCAUUCCAGGUCCUGCUCUCUCCCUAGGCCAUCACUUCAGAUCUGCAAUGGACUUUGUAUGUCAGCCAUGAUAAACCAAGGCCAUACCAGUUUUCUAUUUGGUCCUCAAAUGUACCAAACUCUUUCCUGCCCCAGGGACUUUGCGUAUGUUGUCUCCUAUACCUGGAAUAUAUGUUUUCCAAGCCUCUGUCUCUGAGACUCGGAUGAAAUGUCAUUUCCUCAGACUGGCCUUUCCUGACCACUCCACUUGCCCCUCCCACCCUUAGUCUGCAUUAUGCCCCCUAGUAUUUUCUCCCCCAGUUUCCCGUUCUUUUCCUUAUCUCACUCUGAAGCUGUGGGCUCCUUUGAUGAACACAUACCCUCCACAGGGCAGGAAUCCUGCUGUUUAUCAAUUUGGUACACACUGCCCCUUGCACACAGCAAGUGCACAAAAAGCAUUUGUUAAAUAUGUAUAGAAGCAAUACCAGGCCCCAAGACAGUGGCCCUGCCUGUGAUAUAGUGGGAAGACAGAUAAACACGUACUUAAGACCAGGGU
Molecule: long non-coding RNA, 1552 nt
Filed under: Homo sapiens (human)
Lineage: Eukaryota; Metazoa; Chordata; Mammalia; Primates; Hominidae
Description: HSALNT0154160
Source: RNAcentral